GGAGUCAGGAAUAGACACAGGAAAAUCUAGUUAAGAGAUAACCAUGUGGAAGGGCAUUCAUGAGGAACAAGGUAUUUAUGAGGAAUAAGAAUGUCAUGAGAAACUGGAGUUUGCAGCUGUGCACUAAAAAUAAUCAGUAACCUUUAUGAUCACUUAUUGCUUAUCUGGCAUCUACAUUGUGAUUGACACAUGAUUUGUCUACUUGUCUUUCUCUUACACUGACGUAAACCAGAGCCUGGAAAAUGCAUAUAAUCAAAGACUUUGAGAAAUAAAGUUGUUGUUGGAGCACUAACUCCUCAACCCUCCUGACCCUGCUUUCCUGUCUUCUUUUUUUCUUGCGCACCCCCCACUCAGGUUGGAAUACUCUUGCUGGACAAGAGUUCCCGGUUAUUAGCGUCACUACUGCGUAAGGUGCCUUGAUAUUUAGGUUCUGUCCCAGAGUUAGCUUAUCCGCUUCUUGUGCUAGCAGAGCAGUUGCUGCCAGGGCCCCUAAGCAUGGGGGCCAUCCUUUGGAAACUCCAUCCAGCUGCUUGGAGAGACUAAGAUGAUAUGAUCAGAUCGAAACUACUGCGUUUAAAGUGAUCUUGCUGCUGAUCUCUGUGGGCUCUCAACCUGAUGAUGUGCAUUCAGUACAACAUAGAGGAAAGAAGCAAGGUCAAUGCCUUUUAAACAAUCAUCAGAAAAGCUUCAGCCAAACUUCCUGUGAACUUCCUUUAAUCACACAUCCUUUGGACUCAUUAAGUCUUAUCUGUGACAAAAGAUGAAGCCCAACAUUUCCUCUCCAGCUGAAGCUUUGGCUCAAGACUGUCCAAAGGACUGUUAACUCUUGAGCCUGGGCCAAGCUGAAGACUCGGCAGCAAUCAAAGCCAUGGCAAGGACAGAGAGCUGAGGAGUUCCUGGGUCACCAGGGCUUUCUCCAGCAGGAAGCUGGAGCAGCAGUAAUGACAUGGAUGCAGGAUUCAUGGGGGGUGGGGAGACUGGCCCAGAGCUGUGCAUAAGACAGAAAUUGUGUCACAAGCACUUGUAGGGCUGGGCUCACCUCUGGCAGCUGCUGCUGAGAUACA
Molecule: long non-coding RNA, 1064 nt
Filed under: Callithrix jacchus (white-tufted-ear marmoset)
Lineage: Eukaryota; Metazoa; Chordata; Mammalia; Primates; Cebidae
Description: lncRNA (ENSCJAG00000075684.1)
Source: RNAcentral